RNAcentral lists this ribosomal RNA (253 nucleotides) under uncultured bacterium. Its description in RNAcentral is "partial 16S ribosomal RNA". It matches the Rfam family "Bacterial small subunit ribosomal RNA", at positions 524 to 776 of the family's 1533-position model. The record is from RNAcentral.
GACGAACCGGACGAACGUUAUUCGGAAUUACUGGGCUUAAAGAGUACGUAGGCGGCCUUGUAGGUUGGGUGUGAAAUCCCGCAGCUCAACUGCGGAACUGCGCCCAAAACCCCAAGGCUUGAGGGAAGCAGAGGUAAGCGGAACUGAUGGUGGAGCGGUGAAAUGCGUUGAUAUCAUCAGGAACACCAGUGGCGAAGGCGGCUUACUGGGCUUCUACUGACGCUGAGGUACGAAAGCUAGGGUAGCGAACGGG